UCCCUCGUGUGCCUCGCGAGUACGUCACGAGAGUUAGUAGUCUAUGGCUCAGGACGAACGGCUGGCGGUGUGCCUCAUACAUGCAAGUCGAACGAUAAGGUCCUUCGGGAAUACAUAAGUGGCGGACGGGUGAGUACAACAUAGGAAAUCUGCCCUAAAGCGGGGGAUAACAGAGGGAAACUUCUGCUAAUACCCCAUAUGAGCUUAGUUGAAAUACUAAUCUUGAAAGAUUUAUCACUUUAGGAUGAGCCUGUGCCUGAUUAGCUGGUUGGUGGUGUAAUGGACUACCAAGGCGACGAUCAGUAGCUGGUUUGAGAGGAUGAUCAGCCACAAUGGGACUGAGACACGGCCCAUACUCCUACGGGAGGCAGCAGUAGGGAAUUUUGCGCAAUGGGGGAAACCCUGACGCAGCAACACCGCGUGAAUGUUAAGCCCUUCGGGGUGUAAAGUUCUGUCAGUAGGGAAGAAUUAAUGACUGUACCUACAAAGGAAGCACCGGCUAACUCCGUGCCAGCAGCCGC
This 521-nucleotide ribosomal RNA is filed under the name uncultured bacterium. RNAcentral's name for it is "bacterial SSU rRNA". It matches the Rfam family "Bacterial small subunit ribosomal RNA", at positions 1 to 518 of the family's 1533-position model. The record is from RNAcentral.